Molecule: ribosomal RNA, 433 nt
Filed under: uncultured bacterium
Lineage: Bacteria
Description: partial 16S ribosomal RNA
Rfam family: Bacterial small subunit ribosomal RNA
Source: RNAcentral
AACGAACGCUGGCGGCAUGCCUAACACAUGCAAGUCGAACGAGACCUUCGGGUCUAGUGGCGCACGGGUGCGUAACGCGUGGGAACCUGCCCUUAGGUUCGGAAUAACUCCCCGAAAGGGGUGCUAAUACCGGAUAAUGUCUUCGGACCAAAGAUUUAUCGCCUUUGGAUGGGCCCGCGUUGGAUUAGCUAGCUGGUAGGGUAAAAGCCUACCAAGGCGACGAUCCAUAGCUGGUCUGAGAGGAUGAUCAGCCACACUGGGACUGAGACACGGCCCAGACUCCUACGGGAGGCAGCAGUGGGGAAUAUUAGACAAUGGGCGAAAGCCUGAUCCAGCAAUGCCGCGUGAGUGAUGAAGGCCUUAGGGUUGUAAAGCUCUUUUACCCGGGAUGAUAAUGACAGUACCGGGAGAAUAAGCUCCGGCUAACUCCGUG